AAUGAACGUUGCGGCACGCCUAAUACAUGCAAGUCGAACGCGAUCUUCGGAUCGAGUGGCGGACGGGUGAGUAAUACAUGGGAAUCUACGAGAAGUGGGGAACAACUAUUGGAAACAGUAGCUAAUACCGCAUAAUCCACAUUGGGAAAGCUUUUUGCGCUCUUCGAUGAGCCCAUGUCUGAUUAGCUAGUUGGUAAGGUAAAAGCUUACCAAGGCGACGAUCAGUAGCUGGUUUUAGAGGAUGAUCAGCCACACUGGGACUGAGACACGGCCCAGACUCCUACGGGAGGCAGCAGUGGGGAAUCUUAGACAAUGGGGGCAACCCUGAUCUAGCCAUGCCGCGUGAGUGAUGAAGGCCUUAGGGUCGUAAAGCUCUUUCGCCUGUGAUGAUAAUGACAGUAGCAGGUAAAGAAACCCCGGCUAACUCCGUG
Molecule: ribosomal RNA, 431 nt
Filed under: uncultured bacterium
Lineage: Bacteria
Description: bacterial SSU rRNA
Rfam family: Bacterial small subunit ribosomal RNA
Source: RNAcentral